ACACAACGCACACACCCAACAUCAGCCCUGCUGCUGAGACACAACAUCAGCCCUGCUGCUGAGACACAACAUCAGCCCUGCUGCUGAGACAGAACAUCAGCCCUGCUGCUGAGACACAACAUCAGCCCUGCUGCUAAGACACAACAUCAGCCCUGUUGCUGAGACAAAUGAGUAAUCAAAGAGUACUCAGGAGUAAUCAAAGAGUACUCAGGAGUAAUCAAAGAGAGGUGGGAGGAGUAAUCAAAGAGAGGUGGGAGGAGUAAUCAAAGAGAGGUGGGAGGAGUAAUCAAAGAGAGGUGGGAGGAGUAAUCAAAGAGAGGUGGGAGGAGUAAUCAAAGAGGUGGAAGGAGUAAUCAAAGAGAGGUGGGAGGAGUAAUCAAAGAGGUGGAAGGAGUAAUCAAAGAGGUGGAAGGAGUAAUCAAAGAGAGGUGGGAGGAGUAAUCAAAGAGAGGUGGGAGGAGUAAUCAAAGAGAGGUGGGAGGAGUAAUCAAAGAGGUGGAAGGAGUAAUCAAAGAGAGGUGGGAGGAGUAAUCAAAGAGGUGGAAGGAGUAAUCAAAGAGAGGUGGGAGGAGUAAUCAAAGAGAGGUGGGAGGAGUAAUCAAAGAGAGAUGGGAGGAGUAGUCAAAGAGAGAUGGGAGGAGUAAUCAAAGAGAGGUGGGAGGAGUAAUCUAAGAGAGGUGGGAGGAGUAAUCAAAGAGAGGUGGGAGGAGUGAUCAAAGAGAGGUGGGAGGAGUAAUCAAAGAGAGGUGGGAGGAGUAAUCAAAGAGAGGUGGGAGGAGUAAUCAAAGAGAGAUGGGAGGAGUAAUCUAAGAGAGGUGGGAGGACUAAUCAAAGAGAGGUGGGAGGAGUAAUCAAAGAGAGGUGGGAGGAGUAAUCAAAGAGAGAUGGGAGGAGUAAUCAAAGAGAGAUGGGAGGAGUAAUCUAAGAGAGGUGGGAGGAGUAAUCAAAGAGAGGUGGGAGGAGUAAUCAAAGAGAGGUGGGAGGAGUAAUCAAAGAGAGAUGGGAGGAGUAAUCUAAGAGAGGUGGGAGGAGUAAUCAAAGAGAGAUGGGAGGAGUAAUCAAAGAGAGACGGGAGGAGUAAUCAAAGAGAGGUGGGAGGAGUAAUCAAAGAGAGGUGGGAGGAGCAAUCAAAGAGAGGUGGGAGGAGUAAUCAAAGAGAGUUGGGAGGAGUAAUCAAAGAGAGUUGGGGGGAGUAAUCAAAGAGAGGUGGGAGGAGUAAUCAAAGAGAGGUGGGAGGAGUAAUCAAAGAGAGGUGGGAGGAGUAAUCAAAGAGAGGUGGGAGGAGCAAUCAAAGAGAGGUGGGAGGAGUAAUCAAAGAGAGGUGGGAGGAGUAAUCAACGAGGUGGGAGGAGUAAUCAAAGAGAGGUGGGAGGAGCAAUCAAAGAGAGAUGGGAGGAGCAAUCAAAGAGAGGUGGGAGGAGUAAUCAAAGAGAGGUGGGAGGAGUGAUCAAAGAGAGAUGGGAGGAGCAAUCAAAGAGAGGUGGGAGGAGUAAUCAAAGAGAGGUGGGAGGAGUAAUCAAAGAGAGGUGGGAGGAGUAAUCAAAUAGAGAUGGGAGGAGUAAUCAAAGAGAGGUGGGAGGAGUAAUCAAAGAGAGGUGGGAGGAGUAAUCAAAGAGAGGUGGGAGGAGUAAUCAAAGAGAGGUGGGAGGGAAGGAGAGAUUGUGACAACACAGUGUGGGGCUCCCUUCAUGAAAAAGUCUUGACUACUUUGUAUCAUGCACAAGCACAUUUCAAUUGACUAGUUGUUCACUUGACACCACACACAGGUUGUUGUCCAUUGUUCAAGUACAUUACAGGUGUCAGAAGUGGAAUGGCAGUGGACAACAACUGUGUGGGGUAUCAAGUGAACGACAAGCCCAUUGGACAGGAGAGGGAGAGUGCCAGAGGGAGAAU
Long non-coding RNA from Salvelinus fontinalis (brook trout), 1893 nucleotides. RefSeq lists it as uncharacterized. Lineage: Eukaryota; Metazoa; Chordata; Actinopteri; Salmoniformes; Salmonidae. The transcript is spliced from 4 exons. The record is from RefSeq and is a predicted model, not a curated record.